CCUACGGGAGGCAGCAGUGAGGAAUAUUGGUCAAUGGACGCAAGUCUGAACCAGCCAUGCCGCGUGCAGGAAGACGGCUCUAUGAGUUGUAAACUGCUUUUGUACGAGGGUAAACGCAGAUACGCGUAUCUGUCUGAAAGUAUCUUACGAAUAAGCAUCGGCUAACUCCGUGCCAGCAGCCGCGGUAAUACGGAGGAUUCAAGCGUUAUCCGGAUUUAUUGGGUUUAAAGGGUGCGUAGGCGGUCGGAUAAGUUAGAGGUGAAAUCGCGAGGCUCAACUUCGGAAUUGCCUUUGAUACUGUUAGGCUAGAGAGUAGUUGAGGUAGGCGGAAUGUAUGGUGUAGCGGUGAAAUGCUUAGAGAUCAUACAGAACACCGAUUGCGAAGGCAGCUUACCAAGCUACUUCUGACGUUGAGGCACGAAAGCGUGGGGAGCAAACAGGAUUAGAUACCCUAGUAGUC
This 460-nucleotide ribosomal RNA is filed under the name uncultured bacterium. RNAcentral describes it as "partial 16S ribosomal RNA". It matches the Rfam family "Bacterial small subunit ribosomal RNA", at positions 338 to 795 of the family's 1533-position model. The record is from RNAcentral.